UUCUUACAAUUGAGCUCUCUCGAGAUGGGUUUUCUUCCUGCAAAACAGGUAUUCAACUAGUGACUUUCUGCUUAAAUUUAGGUUUCUGAUUAAAUUUAGGUUUCUAUUCAAUUGUGCUCUCUGGAGAUGGGUUUUCUUCUAUGGGUGAGUUUGUUUAAACUUAAAAAAAGCAACUUUAAAAUAAGUGCUUUUAUAUAAGCGCUUUUUUAAGUAGAUAAGAUUUUGCUUCUUAGAAUAAGCAGAACAAAACUGUUUUUUUUAAGCAAAAACAUUUUAGACAAACACACCAAAAAAACAAAAAGUUGCUUAUUUUAUUAAAAUAAACACUUAUUUCGACAAAUAAGUUUAAACAAAUUGGCCCUAUAUCUCAACACGUAAGGGUGAGCUCUUAUAAUUUUAUAUUGAGUAUGCACACUGGAAAAAUCCAUUCCAUUAAAGAAGCAGGCAUUAGGCCACAUAAUGUGCAAAAUCAUAGCCUAUCAAGAAACCUCUUGACCUUGUAAAAGAAUAGUGUGCUCUACAAUUACAUUGCAAAUGCAAAUUCUGAACCACAAUAAGUAUGCAAGAUUUGUCCUUUGAUUGUAUUUAAAGACAUACACAUACACAUAAUCACUGAGUAUGUGGGAUAUAUUCAGUGAGAGAACUUGAUGCAAAAGACAGAGAGAGGAGUCAUAAAAAGCCAAUGACUCAAAUUAAAACACCCACAGCCACAGGUCAGAACUGACUUUCCUUACAUAUCAUUAAAUGUCUCCACUAUAUAUCAAAUGGUUGAAGCACAAAAAAUUAUACCUGCAACAAAGCCACAAAAGAUGAUACCAGGCCAUUAAUGCUAGAGCACAGAUCUGUAGACAACUUUACAGUCUUUAGACUGCUCUCCAAAAAGAGACGAUACGCAUUCAUUCCGCAAGAUUUAUAUAAUUCAGUCAGAUAAACAUAGAAGAUCAUACAUGAAAAAUAAUGUGAAAUUUACAAAACAUAAAACAGAACAAACAAAAAUGCCAAUUUUUAUUCUCUUCCAUGUUUAUGACAUAUCUAGAGGACUACAAACCCAUCAAGGCGGCAUAGCAUGUUGAUCUCUUGGGCAAAACAAUCACGCAGAGGAAGCACAACAGGAACUUCCCAUCUAGCAUCAACAUACUGUAUAUCUGCAGGUAAUGAGUAUCCUUGACCCUGUUAAAACAAGGACAUGAAAAUCGAUUACACAAGGUCAUUCCUUAAGCAGAAUGAAAGAGAGAGGAGCAAGAUAGAUAGAUAAGGUCAUAAGGAAUACUACACAGUAUAAGCAACACAAUUUGAUUUUAUCGAGAGACAAGAGCAAUGUAGACACAAAUCCUAAAAUCCACAUACUUAUAGAAAACUUAACUUGAAAAAGUAUGAGGAAGCUAUAAGAUUUGCCGAUUUCAUGUGUCACCUUGAACUCAAAGAUUACUCAGUUCAAAACUUCAAAUUGUCAUAGUUAACACUUAACAUGCAUUUUCACUCCCAUUAUAUUGAGAAUCAGUCAAGACUCAAGAGAAAGCUUCUUGAUAGCAGCUCAGGCAUAUAUUAUAUUCUUCAAAUAAAUGAAAUCUAGCAAUUGAAUUGUACUAACCAAACGCAAAAGUUCAUUCAGUGAUACUCCUGAUCAGUAGACACAGCAACUGGAUACUUUUACCCCUUAAAACAAAAUUUCUAACAGUCUAAAAUGUCUCUUAUCCACUUCACAAAAUGUUUAUAUGGGUAGUUAAUGCAACAAAUGAGAUGCAAAUAAAAGUAUGCUUAUAAAUUCAACAACUAACUCUUGUAAUAUUAUGCUUUAAGAUAAACUAGACAAACCACAUGAGAAAAUCCAAAAAGCAAGCAAUGUUGUGGAGUGGAGAACAUUCAAUUUGGCAAGCUGAUUCGCAAGUCAUGACAGAAAAUUCUUAAUUCUCUCCUAAUAACAGUAAUGACUGUCACUCAGUCAAAUCCAAUAACAAACCUUCACAGUGGCUGAAAUGACAUGGCAAGCAAUCCUCGAAAUGCAUGACCCCAGAAUGAUCCUGUUAUACCCAAAUUCAGAAGCAACCUAUACAACCAAAAAGAAUUUCAAACAAACUCACUCUCAAGCAAACAUGGGUUAACAAGCUUCAAACAGAUAUAAUUCACAACAAUACGACAUCGACAUCCAGAAACAAACCUUUUGCAGUGCCAACAUUCGCAGACAGAGCAACACAUCCUCCCUUCCCGUCGGAUCACUACCUUGGCUAUCCUCUCCUUCCCAUCAUCAGAAUCCGAUGAGUAAGCCGUGUCAAUAGGAACAAUACGCAACUCCUUCCUCGGUGUGGCCAAACUCGACACAACCUCACUAACAACUCCAACCGCUUCCUCCAUUUCAUUAGAAGGAAUCGGCAGCACGGUACUCUCAUUAAUAAACACAACUCCAACACCAAAAACCGGCAACGACCGAUCCCUACUCGCAUCAAAGUUCCUCUGAGCCCUCUCUUGCAUGUCAUGCACAAAUUGCAAAGCUACCCUAAACAAAAUAAAGCACACUUUUUCACCCUCUAUAAAAAUGGAAUAACCAAAAUUGAAUUAACCCAACAUUUCAAAUCACGAAUUAAAUUAAAUCAAACAAAUUUAGCAACAAAAAGGGGAUUGGGUUUGUGUUGACCUGGAAGAAGGGCCACCAGAGAAGGCAACGAGGACUUUGUCGGUGGGACUUAUCAUGGCGUUUGAAGUGACGGCGGAACGAAACUUGCCGAACAAGUUGGUUUUGAAGCAAUCGGCGCAGAAGCGACCGUCGUCGAUUCCAGUAAUUUAUCGCGUGUUACAAGGUAUAAAUGUUUGUUUUUAUUUUUUUAGCUUUAAAAAAUGUUUAUUUUUAAUAAAUAUAUAUUUUUUAAUAUAUAAGUUAUAUUUAAAAUUAAUAAUAAAUUAUUUAAAUUUUGAUAUAAGAUUAAUUUUAACUAAUGAUAAUUCUAUAUAAAAAAAUUUAUUCGAUUUAGAAAUAGCUAAAAAUUAUUGUUAUAGUUUGGUAUUUUUUUACUAUUGACUUUGUCAAUCGACAUUUGAAAUUUGAAUAUACCGAAAACGCUUCUUGUGUUUGUUGAUGGGUACGUAUCAAUAUGCAGGUGACAUGUCCCUAAUUUGCAUUGUGUUGGAUAUACUACAAACAAGCGAUGUUUGGUGGGUGCCAUAUGUAACCGACAUAGAUCAGAGACCUCUUUUUUAGGACGUCUCAAUGCUCUUUGGCUACAUCAAAUAUGAUUCAAUGUCACAUGUCCAUCUACCAAAAAGGGUGUUAUGAUAGUUGAACAUGUGUAGGGUGUUCCUCACUCAUCACACGUGAUUUUUGGUCAUCCAUCAUAUGCUAUGAAGACCAUGAUCAAAG
RNAcentral lists this long non-coding RNA (3352 nucleotides) under Glycine max (soybean). RNAcentral's name for it is "long non-coding RNA (GMAX_LNC004405)". Lineage: Eukaryota; Viridiplantae; Streptophyta; Magnoliopsida; Fabales; Fabaceae. The record is from RNAcentral.